AAAGAAGGCUGCAUGGUGACUCUACGUCACCGAGAGAUGUACCUCGGUAGCUGAAGCAACAUCAUCUUUAAACCAAGCAAAAAAUAAUCAUUUGGAGUUUAUCUGUAAUAGCCAAAUAGCUCAAGUGCGUAUGAUAUUUUCCAUUUAUUGCGCUAAAUUACAAUGUAUUUUAUUUUUGCUAAGUAUCUGUAUUUUUAUAUAAUGCACUUAGUAAACACCCUUUGUUACUUGGCUUUUGUGCGAAGCACAAGUAUUAGCAAUAAAACUUCAAGCAAAGGCUAGAAUUAACAAAA
RNAcentral lists this long non-coding RNA (293 nucleotides) under Setaria viridis. RNAcentral's name for it is "long non-coding RNA (SVIR_LNC000279)". The record is from RNAcentral. Lineage: Eukaryota; Viridiplantae; Streptophyta; Magnoliopsida; Poales; Poaceae.